RNAcentral lists this ribosomal RNA (293 nucleotides) under uncultured bacterium. Its description in RNAcentral is "partial 16S ribosomal RNA". It matches the Rfam family "Bacterial small subunit ribosomal RNA", at positions 505 to 796 of the family's 1533-position model. The record is from RNAcentral.
GUGUCAGCCGCCGCGGUAAUACGGAGGAUGCGAGCGUUAUCCGGAUUCAUUGGGUUUAAAGGGUGCGUAGGCGGUCUUUUAAGUCAGUGGUGAAAUCUUGCCGCUUAACGGUAAAAUUGCCAUUGAUACUGAAAGACUUGAGUACAGUUGAGGUAAGCGGAAUGUGUAGUGUAGCGGUGAAAUGCUUAGAUAUUACACAGAACACCAAUUGCGAAGGCAGCUUACUAAACUGGCAACUGACGCUGAUGCACGAAAGCGUGGGGAGCGAACAGGAUUAGAUACCCUCGUAGUCC